UGAUGGUAUGAUGAGAUUGCAUGAUAGCAUCAUUUAAAGAUUUAUCGGUGUACGAUGGGGAUGCGUUCCAUUAGGUAGUAGGCGGGGUAACGGCCCACCUAGCCGACGAUGGAUAGGGGGUUCUGAGAGGAAGGUCCCCCACAUUGGAACUGAGACACGGUCCAAACUCCUACGGGAGGCAGCAGUGAGGAAUAUUGGUCAAUGGGCGAGAGCCUGAACCAGCCAAGUAGCGUGCAGGAUGACGGCCCUAUGGGUUGUAAACUGCUUUUAUAAGGGAAUAAAGUGGGAGUCGUGACUCUUUUUGCAUGUACCUUAUGAAUAAGGACCGGCUAAUUCCGUG
RNAcentral lists this ribosomal RNA (340 nucleotides) under uncultured bacterium. RNAcentral describes it as "bacterial SSU rRNA". It matches the Rfam family "Bacterial small subunit ribosomal RNA", at positions 171 to 507 of the family's 1533-position model. The record is from RNAcentral.